AAAGUCGUAACAAGGUCUCCGUUGGUGAACCAGCGGAGGGAUCAUUACUGAGUAUUCAACUCAUAACCUUUGUGAAUUUAUUUGUUGCUUUAGCAGGGAGCUAGACUAGUAUAUCUAGUCUACUAAUUUUUAAGGCUAUACAUUUGCAUUAUGCCCUGCUAAAGUAUUUUUUAUAUACAAUAUGUUUAUAGUGUUCUGAGUUCAUUUUAAAGUUUAUAUAAACUUUCAACAACGGAUCUCUUGGUUCUG
This 249-nucleotide unclassified non-coding RNA is filed under the name Ascomycota sp. RNAcentral's name for it is "partial contains small subunit ribosomal RNA, internal transcribed spacer 1, and 5.8S ribosomal RNA". The stretch from base 1 to 47 matches the Rfam family "Eukaryotic small subunit ribosomal RNA", at positions 1785 to 1831 of the family's 1831-position model. The record is from RNAcentral. Lineage: Eukaryota; Fungi; Ascomycota.